Xyrauchen texanus (razorback sucker) is the source of this 211-nucleotide small nucleolar RNA. RefSeq annotates it as small nucleolar RNA SNORA73 family. The record is from RefSeq and is a predicted model, not a curated record. NCBI's taxonomy places the organism in Eukaryota, Metazoa, Chordata, Actinopteri, Cypriniformes, Catostomidae. The transcript has a single exon.
CCAACAUGGACAAUCCUGUGAGAUGGCUCUGUCCGUGUGGCAUAAGGGAGUGUAGCACUUAAGUGCCUUGAUGCAUAGUCAUGUUCCUCGAUGCUGGAUAUCAAGCUUGUCCCCAGCCUCUGGUUGGUGUGAGCAGCGUUCUGUAUAUUCCUACUAACUUCCAGAGCUAUCUGGGUUGUGUCCGGGGAGGUAAACCAUGCAGCGCACAUGC